RNAcentral lists this ribosomal RNA (451 nucleotides) under uncultured bacterium. RNAcentral describes it as "partial 16S ribosomal RNA". It matches the Rfam family "Bacterial small subunit ribosomal RNA", at positions 29 to 523 of the family's 1533-position model. The record is from RNAcentral.
AACGAACGCUGGCGGCAGGCCUAACACAUGCAAGUCAAACGGGUGUAGCAAUACACUAGUGGCGCACGGGUGAGUAACACGUGGGAAUCUACCUUUCAGUAAGGAAUAACAGCGGGAAACUGCUGCUAAUGCCUUAUGGUCCCUUCGGGGUAAAGAUUUAUCGCUGAAAGAUGAGCCCGCGUAAGAUUAGCUAGUUGGUGGGGUAAAAGCCUACCAAGGCUACGACCUUUAGCUGGUCUUAGAGGACGAUCAGCCACACUGGAACUGAGACACGGUCCAGACUCCUACGGGAGGCAGCAGUGGGGAAUAUUGGACAAUGGGGGAAACCCUGAUCCAGCCAUGCCGCGUGAGUGAUGAAGGCCUUCGGGUUGUAAAGCUCUUUAGGGUGGGACGAUAAUGACGGUACCACCAGAAUAAGCCCCGGCUAACUUCGUGCCAGCAGCCGCCGUAA